This is a long non-coding RNA of Oreochromis aureus, 440 nucleotides long. NCBI's taxonomy places the organism in Eukaryota, Metazoa, Chordata, Actinopteri, Cichliformes, Cichlidae. The record is from Ensembl.
CACACACACACAGUCACCGAGGUCAACGCCGGUCUCUCUUUGGAGCUGUUUGUUACUUUUCCCUCGAGCAGUUGCACCAGCCAGCUGCUGGGGACACGCAGAGUGUCCGAGUACAUCUUUGACAGGUCGGGCAGGACAGAAGCAGAGCCCUGGAUCCACAGGUGACUCCUGGCAGUAAUGGGAGUGUUCGUGGAAGAACUCGCUCCUGAAGGCCCGUGAGAGGACACACAAAAGCCUUUUAGACCAGGUCAGGACAUGUCGGGGAACAGUUGAUGAACAUGAGACGCAUAUAACAACCAGCUUCCCACACACCGUGUAGACAUCUUUGUUUUAUAUCUUAUAGUUUGACCAGGACAUGCGUGUGAUCUGUGACAGUAGCAGCUGCUUUUUAAUGCUUCACGUCUCUGUAAUAUAAACAUGUAAAUAAAGUAUUAAUGAAA